Lepidothrix coronata (blue-crowned manakin) is the source of this 3954-nucleotide long non-coding RNA. RefSeq lists it as uncharacterized. NCBI's taxonomy places the organism in Eukaryota, Metazoa, Chordata, Aves, Passeriformes, Pipridae. The record is from RefSeq and is a predicted model, not a curated record. The transcript has 3 exons.
CUUAUUUUUAGGUAGAAGCCCUCAGUGGGCAGUAAAUUACCCAUAAUAUCCCCCAAACUAGCAAUUAGCCCUGUUUGCUGACUACCUGAAUUGUUUCACAGUAGUUCAGCACAGUCUUACCAGUUAUCACCAUACUUAUAAUCAGAGAUUCCGUGUAUGAUUCCCGCAGCUCCACAUACUGCCUGCCUAAGGUCAGCAGGAAUAACAAAUACAUUUUAUUUGCUUCUUUUGGCCCUUUAAAGCUGUUUUCUCAGGCUACAAUAUGUGAGGAAAGCUGAUGCUGCUGUGCUGCUUAACUGGCAAGAAUUUGAAAAGAGGAAGCCAUUCGCAAGUGUAGGUGUACUUUGGUAUUAGUUAAUAUUUAUUUGUUUGUGUUAUUCUGUAUUUAUUCCCUUAUUAGCAGACAGUCCUGCCUGGAGACUGAGCUUUCUACCAAUUUCUGAGGUUUGCUCUUCAGAAGUUCUAACACUGGAAGACAUUUUUCAACACGAGCCUGUAACUGAGGAGUGGAAAACAGGAAAAUAUGGAAUCAAAACCCUAUGGAAUUUUUUCCCUGAAGGUGGCAGAGCAGUUUUCAUAUCCCCAAAUAUGAAAAAUAGUAAUUCAGCUCAGAAAACAGUAGCUAUAUUGCCUGUUUCAGCAGUAGAAACAAUCAUGGGCCUCCACAUGCACACAAAUACAAGCACACACAUCCUAACAGCAGCAUUGGGCUUAAAGAAAGAAAACUAAGUAAAAAUGAGACUAAUAAGGCAUUUGAAAAAGAAUAUAGAAAUGUUUGGACCCUGAGCAUUAAAGAUAUUUUUUUAAGUGCUGCACACAUCUUUCUGAGUAAUGCUUUAAUUGACAUAUUAUUUCUCAGGCAAAAUCCCACUGAAUUAACUUAGUGCCACCAUUUAAACCCCAUUUUCAGUGCUGGUUCUGUGUCACAUUACACUGACAUUACACUGACAUUACACAUACAUUCUUGUAUUCCUGUCUCUGAUCUGAUGGACUAGAUCCGGGUAAUGAAGGAGAUGGAACAGGAAUUCAUGUUCAAAAGGAACAACUAAAGACUGGCUCUCCUUUGCAGAGGCACGCUGAGAAGCAGAGAAAACAAAGGCCAAUGGUACAGAGAGGACUGUAACUAAAAGAAUUACUUCCCUCUCUGUUGGGUUUUAAGCCAGGACAAGGAGGCAAGAGUCAUAUGACCAACUUUACAAUCCCAAGAAUCUCCCAAAAUGGGCCCAAACUUUUGCUAUUCCAGCAGUAGAUCCUCAGGUAGGGAGUCCAUGACUCCCAGUUAAUGGCUUACUGAGGCAGUGACCAGCUUGGCACUCAAGGGGAAAAGGGAAGACUUGGUGGUGACAGUGCCAGCACACUCGUUUUUCAGAAGAAGAACUUGUUUUCCAGAAAAAAAAAUAAAGACCUUUGGGUUGAAUGUUGUUUCCAUCCUUACUAAUCAGGCCUUGACUAAGAAAAGUCCAAAUAAACUGAUCAUAAAUUAAGUCAUCCCCAUUGUGAGCAUGAACACACAUACCUGGCCAAGGCAGGCAAAAGCAGAUUGAUGAAACAACAAAGUUCACCUUGUUUUGUGAGCUGAAAGCUCACGCUGUUUCUUGGCAGAACAGGCAUGUCAGGCCUGUAAUAACCACUUGCUACCUUGCUUCAAUCAGCAUUGAAACCAGCACAGUAUUAACAUCUUGGGGAAAAUCCAUCUGGAAACUGCUUUCCGGGGGAAAAAAAUGAAAGGGAGAUAACGGAAUACCACACCCCCUGAUUAUUUAUUUGUUGAUUUCACAGUAACUUUAAGGAACUGAAAAUUUCUCUCCCCAUCACCUGAAAAUGUCCUAUUUCAAACAUUUUAUGUCCAUUCAGCUGAAUUCCUGUUCAGAAACAAGUGGCAAAGAACAGCCGUUCUUCACCUGAAGGAAAACCACUUGUCUGGCAGAGGCAGAGGUCAGUAUUUGCUGUUUGGUUUUACUUUGGAGGAGUUUCUGUGGGCACAUCUUCCCAUGCCCAGUACAGCAGGGUGGCAUCACUGGGACAAAGCCAAGCUGGCAGAGCUGGGCAGAGCAUCCCCAAGCUGGGAUUCAGAGCAACCCCACUGACUUCGAUGUGGGCAUCUGUUGCACUGACACCUCAGGGGGUUGAGGUUGGAACACAAGAGCUGAACUUUAAAAAUACUUCCAAAAAUGUUACUUUUUGCUGAAAAGAUAAUACUCAAAUUGACUUUUCCUUUUGCCUCCUGAUGGCCUGGUAUGAAUAUACACUUGGCAUUAUUCUGCAUCACUUCUUCUUUCUGUUGGAUCAACUAACAUGAUGAUAGUUUCAGGAUGCAGAGGAUACUUAUGUUUGGCAUUAAAAAAAUUACAUUAUGUAAAUCCUGUUGUUGGAAAAUUAAUACAAAGUCAUCUGGGUAAGUGAGCCAAAGAAAGCCUUUCCUUUAUAUUUUUCUGUGAUUUUUUUUUCCUCUUUUUCCUGAAGCAUUGCUGAAGUUUGAAGACAGUAGUGAAGACGCACAGCACACAUGCUCUAAAAUGUAUCUACCCUAUGUGAAUGUACCCUGUACUGCUGGUGCAGCUUGGAAGCUCACUGGGCACGUUUUGGAGACUUUUAGCAUCUCCAAUAUAUUUCUGGAAAGGAAGCAAACAAUCCAGGGCCUAGACACUGGACUUUUAAAUUAACAAAAUAUGUAUUGCUUACUCUGAAAAACACUUUGCCAAAAAAACUGGGCUAAGGAGAUGUCAUUUGGCACUGGAUUAAUUUUAGAUGAAGUUUUAGGACCAGCCUAGGUUGUAAGUUUGUAUUCAAUGGUGUUUAAAAGUAAUGCCCUGGCCAGUAACUGCUGGGAUCAGGCUCUGCCAAAUUUCUGUCACCUUGGGCUUCAUUAGCAUUUGAAAACAGACCUCUCUUGGCUUUGUGUCUCACUGAAAAACAAACCACCGGGGCUGGUCCGCAGCCCUCUCGUUUGGCCAGGGGUGUAGAGCUGCCUCAUGCGCUCAACUUUAAUUUUAAAGUUCAUUUUUUCACUGCAGCUCUUCAAAAGUUACCAGAGUGAAGGCUCCUGUUUACAACGGUGAAGAGUAACUCACGUAAACUCCUAAAGGACCCACAAGCAUUGGCUGACUCACUAUUUAGCAGAAUGAGAAGAAUGAGCAUCAGGUAACGGGAUACAAGUGGAAAACUCUCUGUGAUGCCCAUGGAUAUCAGUACAAACCCCUUCUUUCAAUGCCAAGGUUAUGGGACACUUGUUAAGAGCACAGAAAGGAGUCAGAAGUACGGCUUUUACUGACUGCUCUGCAGCUCAACAUCUCUGGCAUUCAAAACAUACAACUUCUGUGUUUGUACUACAUUUCCCUAACAGCUUACAUCGAGGCCAAACACACAGCGUUCUGCAAAGGUCCUCUAAAAUAAGCUUAUUUAAAAGAGCAAGGUCAAUGCCCAACACAUGUCAGAUUCUGUGAGCAGAAAUCAAAGAGUUCGGAGCAAAUGGAAUAUGUCAGAACUCGGUGGAUUUCCAUGCCAGGCUCUUUUACCAAGUUCACUUUGCUGCUGCCAAAACCAGUAACAAUUUCAUCAUAUGGACUUCAGCUUUGGAAAAGUGUCUGAAAAAACCCCCAGUCUCUGUACAUGGGCCACUUAGCUCAAUAAAUAAAACUAAGGCAUAAAUGUGUUUAUCUGGACAUGCUAUUUAUUGUCCCUGUAACUGUAUUUUUCCUUUAAUGGGACACACGCUGAUUCCAUGCUUCAGCCCUAGGCUCUAUUAAAAUCAAAUUAAAAGCAUUAGUAAUGUAGUUAAUUCCAUUUAUAACAUGGCCAUCAAGAGAAAAGAGAAUAUUAAAAUAGGAAAAAAAUAUAAAUGGGAUUUAAAUUUUUUUUUAAAAAACAUAGUUCCAUUUUGAUCUCUGCAUUUUUUUUAAUAAAAAAGGGAAAACUUUUUCCUCUGUUCAGAUAAAGUAACUCUGCCCUGGUCUU